UCAAUUGUGCCAAAGAAUCACUGGUUGAUGUGACUGAAAGCUCUGAACUUGUGCUGGCCAAAAUCAUCCUCCUCAGAUGGGAACAUCCCAAAAGUCUGCAGAAGCUCAGCCUCUGAGGUGAACAUUGUGGCCCAAACCUCUCUCUGUUCUGUACCUCGCAGGAUUCCAGCUGGUUCUUCCAAUCCAGGAUGAAAACUGUGCCACCGAACCCAGCACCUGUGCAGUGAAGUGCCACUUGAACCCGCUGUGAUGCACAGACCUUGCCCUGGCUGUCUGCACAGGGCUGAAUUUCACCCAUUCAGAGUGUAUUCUCAGGGCACCCCGUGCUUCAUAUGGGCAUUCUUGGGUGUGCAGAUUGCAUCAGACCUGCACCUGAAUAAAUAAUAGUGAAUGAAAUAUGCAGACACUAAAGUCCUGCAGCCAAAUUCUCAGAAACCUUCCUCUUCAGUGUAGGAACAGGAUUUUGUUUUUAAUAUUUUUUAAAGUGCUAAGCAGAUGCUACACUGUAAGGAGAGGAAACAGAAGCAAAAACUGAAAGACCAUGACUUAAACCAAUGAACAGCUGCAGAGAGUGGAGACACAGCAAAGCAAACAAAUGAAUACUGAAAAGGAUCCCCAAAGGAGGUGUAAGGCUCCUGGACUCUAGUGCCUGAAAGAAGCUUCUGCCACCUUCACAGGCUAGGGCCCACCGUCCAUUGUGGAGGUGAAGACGGGAUGGGAGCUGCUGGACUGACCUUGAUGUGCCAUUGUGACGUUAUGAGUAUAAUCUCUCAU
Long non-coding RNA from Mauremys reevesii (Reeves's turtle), 774 nucleotides. RefSeq lists it as uncharacterized. The transcript is spliced from 4 exons. Lineage: Eukaryota; Metazoa; Chordata; Testudines; Geoemydidae. The record is from RefSeq and is a predicted model, not a curated record.